ACAGAGAAGCAGAACAUCCUUCUUAAGCACAUGCAUGAAAAAAGUUUUGGAUUUUGAUCAAUAAAUAUGGAAAUAAGCAUUAACACGAAGCUUAUUCCACAUUUAUUGGUCAAAAUAAAGAAUUAUAAUGCAUGUGUUGAAGAAGGAUGUUCUGCGUCUCUGU
Molecule: non-coding RNA, 163 nt
Organism: Paramuricea clavata
Lineage: Eukaryota; Metazoa; Cnidaria; Anthozoa; Malacalcyonacea; Plexauridae
Source: the annotation of a GenBank genome assembly